RNAcentral lists this ribosomal RNA (254 nucleotides) under uncultured bacterium. RNAcentral's name for it is "partial 16S ribosomal RNA". It matches the Rfam family "Bacterial small subunit ribosomal RNA", at positions 524 to 776 of the family's 1533-position model. The record is from RNAcentral.
UACGGGGGGAGCAAGCGUUGUUCGGAUUUACUGGGCGUAAAGGGCGCGUAGGCGGCCAGCACAAGUCAGUUGUGAAAUCUCCGGGCUUAACUCGGAAAGGUCAACUGAUACUGUGCGGCUAGAGUGCAGAAGGGGCAACUGGAAUUCUCGGUGUAGCGGUGAAAUGCGUAGAGAUCGGAAAGAACACCAACGGCGAAAGCACUCUGCUGGGCCGACACUGACACUGAGAGACGAAAGCUAGGGGAGCAAACGGG